RNAcentral lists this ribosomal RNA (253 nucleotides) under uncultured bacterium. Its description in RNAcentral is "partial 16S ribosomal RNA". It matches the Rfam family "Bacterial small subunit ribosomal RNA", at positions 524 to 776 of the family's 1533-position model. The record is from RNAcentral.
UACGUAGGGGGCUAGCGUUGUCCGGAUUCAUUGGGCGUAAAGCGCGUGUAGGCGGCCCGGUAAGUCCGCUGUGAAAGUCGGGGGCUCAACCCUCGAAUGCCGGUGGAUACUGUCGAGCUAGAGUGCGGAAGAGGCGAGUGGAAUUCCUGGUGUAGCGGUGAAAUGCGCAGAUAUCAGGAGGAACACCAAUUGCGAAGGCAGCUCGCUGGGACGUGACUGACGCUGAGACGCGAAAGCGUGGGGAGCAAGCAGG